AUAUUCAACCUAUCAUUCCCUACGACCGAAUAGAAAGAAGCACGACAAACCCGUGGACUUAGCAUGUAAGAAUGAAUCAAAUGAAGUACCCCAGCUACUUAAGAUUUUUCUAGCAAUCAAACAUACUUGCUUUCAAAGUAAACCCAGCAUCCGAUGAAUCAACAUCUCUGCACAUGAUGCUGCAUUUCCCGUGAUGUCAUCUGGAAUGCUGGCAACUUUUAUGCCAUUUUCGGUGACUGCGUCCACAUCAACACCUUCAUGAAGAUGUAAAUGUUGAGUACUAAAUUCAAUUAAGAUCUAACAAAACAUAGUAAUUAUACCGACAAAAUAAACUAAACUCCCCCAGCCCGACAUACGCAAGCAAGCAGGGGCAGACACCGUCCAGACCGACACCAAAUUGCAAUUUAAACUUCAAUUGUUUCACUCGAGCUAUAGUAUCUGAGUCAAGGCACUUGCUCUUCACCACACAAAUAUGGUAGUUUCCUAUAACAUGAGGCACAUCAUCAAGGGCCACCUCAUCGACCUAAGAAAAUGGAAAACAGAUGAAUGAAUUUGGAAACAUAUGAAACAAUAAGUCCUUACACUGUCAUUAACUGAAGUACACUAAUUAACGAGGACAUAUUUACAUUUAAACAUAAGACCAAACCAAAUGUGCAAACUUGAACAUGCUUUUUUAUUCCUAGUCUGUUAUUUAUCCAAAGGCAUGUGCUGGCGACAAUGGGAUCGUUCCAGCAAGUUUAAGUAGGACCCCAACAAGAGCAGAUUGGUUUUUAUUUCAGCCGAGAAAAUAUCAUCACCUACUACAGUUCCUCAAAGUAAAUAAUUCUACAAUUUUACAAUGAUCAGAGGCAGAAAUGAGAUAUCACUUCAGUGCAUUAGGUAGUUGAAAUCUGGCUCUACAAAUGGAUGCAAAAAUAAUUGGAUGGCAUCAAGACCUCAAAGGUGAUACAAUCAAAUCCCUUCUUACCACUCAAAACACAUCCAGAUAACUCCACCAACCACUCCAAAUGAAGAAAGGGAAUCAUUAAGCAUUUCCCUCCACUUCCUUUGAGCUUGUGAAGCUGUAACUCUUGCUACACAGACGGGGGAGGGGGGGGGGGGGAGAAGGCAGGGAUGUUGACAUACUUACAACUGGGGACUGGUGAUGUAGAGAAUGAGAUAGAGUUUGCAGCCUCCACAAUCUACACCUCCCUUUCCUCCUCAAUAAUUGCUGCAGAUGGGUUUUGUUAAAUCACAUCAUAGUUUUUCCACAGAGGUCUGCCAGGUCUCUCAAAAGGCAAAAGGUUUGCAGACUUUGUCACUGAGCACAACUCUUCCUCUGGAAAAGUAUUUUAUCCAAUGAACUAAUCAUCUAUGAAUGCGACAUAUCUCAUCAGUAUGAAUCCCAUCUUAUUCGACGUCACUUGAAUGGAAUGAAAUCCCACAACUCAUCACAACAUCGAGUACAUAUUCAUGCUAUGGCAUUGGAGAAAGAGCGUAUUCUUGUCAUCCUCCAAGUUACAUCAAAACAUUGCUUCUCGAGUUUGAAGGUUUUUCGACUGGAGCUCAUUAUGUAGGAUUAUAACAUCAGGACGAUUGAUCAACUUUAAUGCCAUUCACCUCCCCAUGGCCUUUGCUCAUAUCUCCAGCAGCGCGACAUGGUUCCCGAUCAUUCAAACCCAGCGGCACCUUUUCUUCUACUCCAUGUUCCCUGAUAUCAACUAAGUGAGAAUUGAAUACCAGUGAUUUUCUGGUUCCCAGCACUUCAUCUUUCCUAAGAAAUUUAUUUGCCAAGACUUUCCUGCUAGCAUCAUACAGUGGGACCUGAAUGAUCCAAGGGUAUACAAUAAUGAGCAGAAGUUAUUCCAGGACCUAUAAAGAAGGAUUGCUUAGGGCCUUAUAACUUUUUUGGGUAGUGAAAUGCACUUGAAUUAAUGUGAUGGUUGGGUCACAUAAUGAACCACUAUUCCAAAAACAAAAGUGAUUCAUGUUGGAUCAGCAAACAAAGUAGCCAGCCUAGUUUAAUUAAAGAACAGUGGCAAAAGGAUGGUAACGUCCUUGAAAGUGCUUCGGAAUGACCUGCCUCCCUAGGGAUCCGCGAACUUCAUGCUGCAAAAAACCAUCAUGGUAUUUCCUGGCCUUUAGAGUUUAUUUGUGUGGUGUACAAAACUUGCCAUUCUACGUGACAGGGAAGUGUCAAUAUCCAUGUAGGAUAUGCUCAGUUAAACUAACACAAGAAUAAUGGAAGUACACCUGCAAAAGAACAUUCGUAUGCCCAUGCGUGAUUGAUUGAACUUGCGUUGGAAAUGACUGAAGAAUAAUAAUGAACUUGUUAUUGAUUUUGUGAUUUCCAUAACCUCAAGCUAAGAGGAGGCAGUAAAUGCACAGCUAUAACAAGAACGUAGUUGGCUAGUUAAUGGAAACUUCAUUAGAAAAUCUAUUAGCAAGUAGAACGAACAACUGGCUAAGUAAUGAAAACUUCACAAGAAAUUGUAAGCAUAAAAGAAUACCCUGAGGAUUCCAUGUAACUCGGUUCAUUGCCCUCCUCUUUUGCACGAGGUUCUCGUACUUGUGACUCAUUCUUAAGUACCUAGAGCACGGUGCUAGAGCUAGGAAAUUCUCAGGAACGUAACCAGUCAAGGUGAAUUAUGGAUUUUUCAAAUGAACGGACACACUUAGACCUUCUCUGAAGCACAAAGCCAAAAACUCAAUAGAUAGUUUUAUAUUAUUGGUGAAGCUUUUAUCUAUUAUGAAUUUUUCUUUUUGAACUAAAGUGUGAUUUCUGUCAUAUGUAAGGAAUUUUAAGAAUCCAUCUGGUUAAGCAGUAUAAUGUCUUGCCUAUGAAAAGUGCAACAAAGUCUCCUAACAGGCAACUUUGAUUUCAUCAACCAAAAUUUUUUUGAGAUCACGAUUGCAUUAGAACAUGCAACAAACGUAGAGAUAAGGCAACUAGUAAACACUAGUGGCAAACUGAAUAUGCAUCUAAACAGAGUCUGACCUGUUACCCCUGAUUUUCCAGCAUCUAAUAUACUCACCUUUGCCCUAUUCUGAUGCAUCUUGGCCAUUUUUUUUUCUUCUGAAAGAGUAUUAAUGAAUACAUGUUUUAGUGCAUCACAAACACAAUCAGGUAAUUAUUGUAGAUCAUGCAAAACAUGAAGAGAAGGGAAUCAUGCUCCUCAACAGAAAAGAAAGAGAUAGCAUGGAUAACAAUGAUGAUUUUCAAUUGUCCACUCUCUUUAUCUGGUCAAUGAAGAAAGUAUUAACUUCAAAUAAAAACAACAAAUUGAUUCAUGGCAUCUGCAAGUUCAAGGACUUGUGGAAAUCAUCCCACGUCUCAUGAACAUCCCUUGGACUUGUGUCUUUAAAGCUCCGAAUCACAAUGUGUUUGCAAUAUCAUUUUGGUGAGUAUGGAGUAUCACCCGAUUACAUCAAUUGCAGAGCAGCUAAAUGAUAGGGUCCAUAGGAUAUAAACAAUGAGGUAAAAAAUGUUGAUAAUCUAUUGGAAGUUUAAGACUUUAGGCUAGGAGGUAAGGCAAAUUACCUUCAUAUAAAGACUAAACAGGAAAAAUAAACACUAUAUAGAACACCAGGAAAUGGAUCAAAUUGAACUGUAUUCCAGGUACCUUUUAAAGCAGAUUUAACAUUAGUAACAUUAUGCUGCUGCUUUUGCAUAUUAAUUUUUGAAGAGAAUUGAAACUGUUUCCACACGCAUUUAGAUCCCUCAAAGAUUCAUCGUUUGCUGCACGGUUGCCAUGUUCAACCAAAUGACCAGGAAAUUCCAUCAUCUCCCCAGGGCUUACUUCUUUUUCAGCUUUGUUCAGGAACCUGCCAUCUAAAGGUUUCCAGCUCAUAUCAUACAAGAAAACCUCGUAAAAGACCCAAAUAAGUUUUCAAUCAUCUGAGCCAUAUUUAUCCUGACAAAUUUUUUUCACUAAUCUGCUGGGAAAGGUAUACGUCAUGACGAGGAAAACCAACCAUAAAGGAAAGAAGAGCUGAAAUUUAAUCCAGCAACAAGAUAGCCGGUAUUAUUUAAGGGUAAAAACCAGAAGGAGAUGUAGACUGGAGAGCUUGACCUGCCUAGUCAUAGAUCCACUGCUCGAGCAACUUAAGAAGCCAUCAUGACAUUUCUUCGACUUUUGAAUUAAUUGAGUUGUAUACAAGGCAUAUCAAUCUACAUCAAAAGGAAUAUUGUGUCAACUCCAGUGCCGAGACAACAAUAACACUCUUGAAUAUAACCGCAUAGAGAACAUUGAGACCAUUUUCUAAGGGAAGUUUGGAUAUAUGCUAAAAAGCUCCAAUAAAUUUUCAAGAGAAGCCACGAAAAUAUAUGAACCCACCUUGAUUGAGAAGACUUGAUAUACAAAGCAUCAGAGUCGAGGGAAUCUUUAUUGAUAUUGAAAAGAUUCUGUAUGUAAUAUAAAGAUGUGCAGAAACUGUAUCCCAAAAAAAACGAAGAACGGAUUCACAAUCCAGGAGAUACAUCAAGAGAAAGACAAGGCCUGCAUGGGUAUAGAUGAGUCAGAAAAAGUCCAAACUCACCUGUCAUAUUCGAUGUCCUUGAGAAGCCUUCAUUCAGAAUCAACAGAAAACGGGUAACCUUCUCCCCCUCUCUAAUCAGUCUGUACUGCUCGAGAGUCUCUUCGGGUCCUUUGAGCUCAACCUCAGCAGCCCCGAGCUCAUUCCAGAGAGAGGAGAGUCGGUUGAAGCAAGCGGUAACCGAUGGGUUCCCUUGCUUCAGAUCCGACAGAGCUUGAGCGAGCGAAAAUAACUUCGCUCUGUCCAACUUCCCAUACAUUUCUUUGAUGUCGUCCCACAUUUGUUUCGAAUCUUCAGUCGGUGGAGGGCCGGCGGCGAUGAUAUCAGCGGCCUCGCAGUUCCCGAUUCAGGUGCGCACGAGCUGAUUACACCUCCGCCAACAUCGUCGCCGCAUACGGUCGUCGUCGGGAACGGGCACAGUUCCAUCGAGGAACCCAUCUUUGUCCUUGGUCACAAGAGCCCGCCGGAAAUCUCGAGCCCACGCAUUGUAGUUGUCUGGACCGGUAAGUUGCAGGUUGAUGAUUCGGAGCUCCGGUCCGUUGGCCGGCGAGGUGUACAGAACGUCCCCAGCUUCUGGACGGUGGCCGGCGCCGAGGAUGGGGUACAGGUAGAACCCGGGUUGUAAUCCCAGGUAGGGAUUCAUCCCAUGACCCGUCGAACUCUAUUCGGAUCUGUGACCGAUCCAUCAAUUUGGGGCCCAUGAUUCGUACCUUCUCCAGAUGGGCUGUAAGGAGCCCAUUUUUGUCGAUUGGGUCCAACGGCCCACGGGCCUGGGACUGGAAACCACUGCAUUGGUGGCCAUUGGAUUGGUGCAGAGGUUGAACAGAUGUGGGCGAUGGAGCCGAAAGUUGUUGCUGCAAAUUCUGGGUUUGGUCAGUUUGAUAUGAAGCUAGACUCUCAGGAGAAUUGUUGGCGUCGAACGAUUCCUCCACAGGUGAGAUCAUCUCUUGGUCGUUGUUGCUGCUGCUUGAUUUGUUGCUUUGAUUUUUGGGCACGGUGUUUGAAUGUAUGAAUUCCUAACCGGUGUGUCAAUUUGUUUUGCAGAAAGAAAUUUGCAACAACAAUUGAAAAGACUACCGAAGGCAAUUCGGGUAUUUGCAGAAGUUUUUUUUUUUCUUUUUUUUUAGCAAGGGGUAUUUGCAGAAGUUAGGUCAGUACGCUUUUGCUCUGAUACCAAACAAAGAAAAUGGAGGAAAUCAAAUAAUAUUACAAUUCCUAUUACAUCUUCUAAAUAUUGUGAUGAUAUUUUGUGAUCAAAUCAAUUAUCCCACAAUCUCGUGAUUAGAAUCGAAGCUAAGAAUUAAAUCAUCUUCCAACAGUUUUCAGCGGUGAGUGGUGAUGGUGAUUGCAAUGAUCCGAGCAUUUUUCAAAUGUUGCCUAUAUGAUUUAAAACAGUGUUCGAGUGCAUGAAAUAGAAGCGGCAUGUUGCUUUGGGUUUGUAUGGUUCAAUUCUUGCAUUUAGAUUAAUGAUGAGAUGUAACAUAUAAACUGAAGGAGAAAAACGAAAAAGCGUAAUAUCGAUCAAAGGAACGAGCAACAUGAAAAAUACGACAAAGUAACUCCCAUGCAUCGGUCCUUCUUUACAAUUUUUCGUGCAGUUGUCCAUCAAAGGGGACCCUGAAAGACACAAGAAAAGAGACAAGGCAUUGGGGGUCAAAACGUGAAGCACGAAGCAAGAAGCAACCUCUUUCGUCUUUUGCCAUCCUUUGUAGAAUUCCUGGAACGAAUUUUUGGCUCCAACUGCUCAUUUCUUUUUCUUUCUUUUUUUCUUUUAACAAUUUCUCUUAAUUGACUACUCUCUCAUGGUGCGUUGGUCUUUCUUGAGAUUUUCUUUUCUUACAGCUAUCUGGGCAAAAGCUUUUUCUACAAAACUUGUCAUUUAUCUAACAAACUUUUUCUCCGUCUCUUGUGAUACUAAUUGCUUAAUCUGGUAGAUGAGAGGUCACAUCAUAAUCUUAUGGUAAUCCUUCUCUAAACAUGUGAAUGAAAGUAGCGAGAACGGGCCACCCCCAAUACUACUUUAAAGGCUUCUUAUAAAUUUAUCAGAAUCUUAUUAAAGAGUCUUUUAGGGCACUCAUUAAUCAGGUCUAAUAAAGAAAAUGAUCAAAAUUUGCCUUGAACUCCAAUUUCUUCAAGGUUUAAGAUGAACAAUCGUGUAGUUGGGGCUAAAUUUGGCUGAUGACCAGUCUUGAAAUUGGCUAUUUUAAGUAACCAAUUUGUUCUCAUGCACGCCAUGUAGGCUGAUGAUGUGGCGGCUAUUAACUAUUUCAUAUUUUCUUUCGGUUCAAGGUCUAAAAAUAGUUGAGAGAAUAAGUAUUGUAUCCUCUCUAUAAGUAUAAAGUUGUGUAUAGAAUAUUGCCGCCACAUGUUAAAGUAUUCAAUGGUGGAGUUUUUCAUAGGCAUUAUAGUCUUUUUGCAUCUAACUAAUUGCUUUCAAACUUUUGGAUUAUAAUCUCUAAUGUCAUAUCCACAACACUUAUAUUUUAGGCUAUGUUCCUUUCUUAAAAAUAACUUCCAAUAAAACAUUUUUUGGAUUUUUUGGUAUUCAUUUCAUGGAAAAUAAAUUAAUCGUGGAAAAUAUUUUCCAUCAAGGAAAAAAGAAAUAUUGUAAAAGAGGGUAAAAUGUUUUUCACUUUUAAAAUUGGGAAAAAUAUUUUUCUUACCCGCUCUCUCUCUCUCUUAACUCAUACCUUACUCGCCUCCUUUCCUGUUUUCUUUUCUAAUAAUUUGAAGUUUAAAUUAUUUUCCUUUUAUUUUUUUUGUCUUAAUUAUUUUUCUUUUUCUUUUUUUUCACCUUUUUCUUUGGCCGGUCCUUGGCAUGGCCGACUAUAGGCGAGCCUCGAGCUUGUUGGCCUCGAGCCCUAGGCCUCGCCUGGCUCACCGAUUCUAGUGAGCGGUGAGCUCAAGGCUUGCCAACCUCUGGCGAGUUCGAGCUCACCGCUCGCUAGCUUGGCGAACUAGUGGCGAGCAUGAGCCUCUAGCUCGCCGAUUUGGCGAGGCUAGAGGCCGGUAAGCUUGAGGCUCGCCCUUGUGCUUGCCAAUCUCUAGCGAGCAGCAAGCUCAAGGCAUGUUGGCUCGUUGUGAGCCACAUCAGCGAGCCAGCUUGCCUCUAGCUCGCCAAUGUGGAGAGGCCAAAGGCAGGCGAGCUUAAGCUCACUUGUCGCUGCUCACCAAUCGAAGUUGGCCUUUGGCCGAUCGCUGGCUGUCGUCGUGGUUGGCGAUCAGCAAAAGAAAAAGAAGAUAAAAAGAAAGAAAAAGAAAAAGAAAAAUAAUUAAAAAUCAAUUUUUAGAAAAAUAAUUUAAAAAUUGAUUUUAAAAAUUUAAAAAAUAAUAAAAUUAUUUAACAAAAUUCAUAGGAAAAAGGAUUUUCCUUAUCGAACAAUAAAAAAUAUUUUUCACUUCAUUUUUAGAUUUUAGACGAAUAGCGAAAAAUAAUGAUAAUUUUUUGAAAAAUGACUUUCCGAAAUAUAUUCUCCGAAAAUGCGGUGUUUUUCGUAAAACGAACGAAGACUUAGAGCCAAAACGUUUGAUUAUUAACUCGCUGUGAAAUCAAUAUAGCACUUCACUAAAUCUUUAGAAUGCGAGAAGUGCAUAUAUAAAAUUUCUAAAUUAAUCAUACAGUUCGAUCAUUGCAAUUUACCUUUGCUUUUGAGGAGUUGAAUUUGAUUAAAAUGGAUGAGCCUGAUUGAUGUGUGUAUACGUGUUUAUUAGGUGGUACGAGCCUUGAUAUAUCUUACCAUAGAUAUAAUCUACGGUUGUGCGUUUUUCCCACCACGUGAAAAAAAAAAAAAAAAGUUGCUAUCGGCAUUAGCUUGUGUGAAAACAAUUUGUUGACGACGCGUGAAGCAAAAUUAUGAUGGAUCAAUUCACGGCACAUAAAGUUAUUGGCCCUGAGAAAGCAAUCUUUUGACGUCAAGCGAAAAUAGGAUGAUUGAUGUUAAAUUAUUGCCGUCGGCCCAGGCGAAACCAAUCUUCUUUUGACGGCACAUAGAGCAAAAGAUAUGAGCAAAAGAUACGAUGCUGAAUAUUGCUCAUAGCCCGUGGUGAAACCAAUCUUUUGAAAGUCCGGUUAUGGGCAUGUUUGAUUUUCCAACCACUCCUUUUAGACCUAUUGCUAUAGCUGAUGUGACAUUACCGAUAUGCCUGUCGCCUAUAUAUAGUUUAGCUGUGGAGAGUGAUGAUGAGCACUUUGUCCCAAUCCUAGUGUAUUAAUGAGCAAUAAUCAUUUUGACUUAUUGUUUCGAGCUCGGUCGUAAAAUUGGCAGCAGAUCAUUCGGAGAGAUCUACGUCGGUGGACUACUCGCUAAUUGAUACUUAAUUUUUGCUUUAUUCGUUUUGCUUUUAGUUUGAUUUUGAUUGAAGUUUUUUUGGAUUGUUUUUAGGUACUAAGACUCAGACGAAUGAGAAGGGCGCAACUAAGUUUGUGAGUCGCUAACCGAUAUUUGGUUUUUUCUCUUUGCGUUCUACUUUUUCUAGUUUUUGCUCGUUUUAGUUACUUUAGUAUUGUUAUAGUCAUUGCAUUGAUAUUUUGUCGAGUUGAUGUUUUAUUUUUGCGUUCUAUAAAGCCAUGUGGACUGUGGCUUGUUUUGUUUUUUUUUUUUCUUGGGUCGUUUGAUUGACAUAGAUAAUGGUUCACUUGCUUCCAAUAAGUCAUUGAUGCUAACUUUCAAUCAUUAGAAUGAUUGUUAUUAACAAGUGGAAGCUUUCUUUGGUCUGUGACUUUCACAUGCAUGAGAAAAUUGUCAAAAAGAUCAGUAGGAAACGUAGACUGUAGAGCUUGACCUGCCUCGUAAUAGGUCCACUGCUUGUAGAACGUAAGAAGCCAUCAUGAUUCUUCGACUUUUGAGUUAACCGAGUUGUAUACAAGACAUGCCAAUCUAUAUCAAAAGGAAGAUUACGUCAACUGUAGUGCUGAGACCAUAAUAACAUACUUCGGGAAAGUAGCAGAAUAUUCAGACCAGUUUCUGCGGGAAAGUUUGGAAAUAUGCUAAGAAGCUCCCAAUGAUUUUCAAGAGAAGCCAUGAGAAAAAUGUGAACAUAAAACCGCCGUGAUUGAGAAGAAUUGAUACACAAAGCAUCAGAGUUGAGAGAACAUCUAUUGUCCUUGAACAGAUUCUAUGUGUAGUAUGAAGAUAAGUAGAAACUGUAAACCCAGAGGAAAUUAAGAAAUGAUUCACAAUCCAGGAUAUGACAUCAUAAGAAAUGAUAUAUGGCCAGGCAUGGCAUAUAUGAAUCUGCAAAAGUCCAAACUCACCUGCCAUACUCGAUGUCUUGAGUUGGGACCUCCUGGUAAUAUGCCAUACUUGUUCAUUUCAUUCUUCUCGAAUUCUGGAAAAGGAGAAACACAGAUGCUAAGUUUUGUACCCAGCAUUUACUAGCUAUCAAGAGAGUUAGAUUAUGAAGGAUUUCAUCACCAACCUCUAAUAAUUUUCUGUGAUGGGCUUAGGCUGAUCAUCUGCUGUUUAUUCUUCUUUACUUUGGUCUUCUCAUCUUCUUAAAACGUAAGUGAAAUGGAUUAUACAACAACACAGGCAGAUAAUCACAACAUUGCGACUGUACGAGUAUGAGUUGUCAAAUUUCAAAUCAUUAGAGACAACAACAUGAGGAAAAACAAAUAUGUAAGAACACACAAUACUGGCGCAACCAGAUACUUUGACGAAAUUGUUUCUGUGAAGCGAAGUUGUUCGCUUAGGAACUUUCUUUGCUCGGCUGUGAAUAUAAGUAUCAUUGAGAGGCUUUUGCCCUGCUUCAGGCUCUCCAACAUCAAUCAAAUAAGCAUUGAACGUCUCACUGGAACAAACAACUUCGUUCUUGAAAGUCCUGCAUUCCAACACCUGCUUGCUGUCAUCAUACAGCAUUACCUGUCAAAAAUCCAACCAUCAAUCACGGCAUGGCCUAAUCCACUCAGAACAAGCUCAAUCACGGAGAGCACAAGGACCAAAACCACAGAACAAAACAAUCCGCGAGGACAGUCAAAAUUGAAAACCUAUGCAGCAUCGAGCUGUUGCUAUCAAGCAUUUCUUCUACCUGCGGAGAGAAUAUAUACCUGUAGACUUCUCCAUUACUCCAUUCUUUUCUUGGGGUGCUUUUCUUGCGUCGGGGGAUGUAGAAUAUGCAUUAGCAAUGCAAUAUGCAACUUUCUAAGUACUUAAUUCCUUUCCUUUCUUCUUUGCAACUUGCAGGCCUAUAUGUUCACAGGUUGUUAACGCAUCAGAAGUGAAUUCUCAAGUCAUUCUCUAUCAUAAUCUCCAGUGAUCAAAGUCUGAGCAGUGCAAUACCAAUGGCUGAGUCUGUUGUUUCGUUCGCGGUGGAGAAAAUAGGAAACUUGGACCUGCACAGCGAGCUGAGGCAGGUCCAGGCCUUGCUGAUGGAUGUGGAUGCAAGACGAGAGCGCAAGGAAGCUGUAGAAGAAUGUGUCGCACAACUCCGAGACUUUGCCUAUGAUGCUGAGGACGUCAUCGAGAGAUACUACCUCAAAGCGGCGCUGACGGAGGGACAAAACAUCAUCAAAGCGUAUGCUUGCUUCAUGGCGAAGUGCUCGUGCGUGCAGGUUCAUGAGGUGGGGACAGAGAUCGAGGGCUUAAAAUCCAGAAUUUCCGAUAUUGGUAAUAAGAUGCAGAAAUAUGGCAUACAACCUCUGCAUGAGGGCGAACGCAAACGCGCGAGAGCUUCGCUGCCGAAACGGACUUAUGCCCAUUUCCAGGAGGAGGAUUUGUCGGGAGGGAAGAUGGUAUCGAGGCGUUGGUAAAAGAGCUAAAGGAUGGAAAACACAGAGUUGUUGCUCUAUGGCGAAUGGGUGGUUUGGGAAAGACCACACACGCUCAGAAAGUCUUCAAUCACGACAAAUUGAAGAACCAUUUCGAUGGUUCUGCUUGGGCUUGCAUAUCUCAAGAAUAUCACGUGAGGAUAUCUUGGAGGGAAUUCUUGUUAAGUUGAUCCCUAACAAAAGAGAAGAGGUUACGGAUAUGAGAAAUGACGAAUUGGUAGAAACUGUAUACAUGACCCAAAAACAGAAGAGAUGUAUCGUGGUUCUUGAUGAUAUUUGGACCAAACAGGCAUGGGACAGUCUUCAAGCCGCAUUCCCGAUCAAGGACACGAGAAGCAAGCUAUUGAUAACAACCCGCAAUAAAGAAGUAGCGGAGCAUAUCAAUCCUCAUUGUUUUCUCCAUGAACCUCAGUGCUUAUCGCACGAGGAGAGCUGGAUUUUGCUAAAGAAGAGGGCAUUUCCUGAAGUGAAAGGUAAGACUUCACUAAAGUUAUUAACCUAACAUAUUGUGGCUUCAAAGGAUUAUGUUGCCUGCUUGAUUAUAAUUUAUGACGCUUCUAUAAUUAUUGUCGGAUUAGCUGUUGAACUUUCUUCUGUUGGGCUUGGAGUUGGUCGAGGUAUUGCCGUGGAUCAAGUUGUAGAAGGUAUUGCAAGACAAUCAGAGAUGGAGGGACAAACACCAGGUACUUCAUUGCUCAAUUUGGCCUUUCGGAGGCUUUCGCAAUUAAUCAAUCAAUAUUUACAGUGGAGUUCAAAUGAUCAAUAUAUCAAGUAUUAGACACCGUAAUUUCAAUAUUUGAGGAAUCAGAUGCACCUUUUGUUUCUCAAUAGCUGACAAUUGUACCUCUAAGCCAACAUCCAAAACUUUGCUCCUCUUGUCCUCCAAUAAGGAUAAAUAUCAAAAAAGCUUUCAUUUGACCAUCAUAAUAAGUAAUUUUGAUAGGAUUUAUGAAAUAAUAUGAAGCCUAGCUAUGUUACUUUCCAUAGGCUUCAUUUUAGGUCCACAUUUUCUUGCAUUUGUGAAUAAUUGGCUUAACAAUAAUACUUGGAAUUGUUAUGAAAAUCGUGAAUCUUUAUGUGACAAAAUAGAGUGACAACAUGAAGAUUUCACUAGAAUUUUGAGGGAAAUCGGUAGCACAUUCAAGUCACGAGUGAUAUAUCCCUUCGUUGCUUUCAUUUUUCUUCAUUGAGUAGGAUUAUUGUUGUUAUACAUAUGCUCAAGUCAAUUAAUUCAAGCAACAGAUAACAAAGACAAUACAUUCCAUUAGUCAAAUGAGUGUUCUUGAUCUUUCAGACGUAGAUGGAGGCAUAUAUAGGAGCUUUGUUGGGGUCUCUAUAGUUUUUCCCCUGACAAAAGCAUAAAUGAACCAUAGAACAUAAGGAACUACAACAUCCAACUCAUAUAUCAAAAAGCAAAUAUUUGUCCUCGAAGUUAUCUUCUUAUGACAGUUGCAUCUUCCUACUACUAUCGAGUUUCAAUUUAUUACUUGAUAUUAUGUAGAAAUCACUAAAGGCAUGAAGAAGUUAGGAGAUGAACUCCUUGAGAAGUGUGGGGGAUUACCUUUGGCUGUUAUGUGCUUGGUGGACUUUUGGCAGACAACGAGUGGGAGACGGUUUAUAGAAACAUCAAUUUGCAUUUGAGUGAUAAGAGUAUUUUAUUUGAAGUUUUGGCCUUGAGCUAUGAUGAUCUACCGUGGCAUUUAAAGCCAUGUUUCCUCUAUUUGGGUAGCUUUCCGGAGGAUGCAAAAAUCCCUGUGAAGACAAUCCUUCGCAUGUGGAUUGCUGAAGGCUUUGUGCUGCCUGAUGACGCAAAGAGAGAAAUUACAAUGGAAGAUGUUGCAGAGCAAUAUUUCAUGGAGUUGGUUAAGAGGGGGUUGGUCCAAGUAUGACUCAACUGGAAUGGAAAUAUUGGAACCUGCCGCCUCCAUGACUCGACGCGAGAGGUAUGUGUCUCCAAGACUAGCCAUGAGAGGUUUCUAAGCUUUCGUAAAAUUCAACAUGACAAUGAAAGGGAGGGUAGUUCUUCAAUGGCUUGCAGAACACGAAGGAUUUCUCUCACUAUGAACGGGAUUGGUGAAGGAAACAUAACUCUGAGGGUGGAACAAAUAGGAAGGACUAUGCUCCACCUUCGAACUCUUUUGUUCUUCCAAUCUAGGGGAUGUAAUUGGGAGCAAUUUCAACCAAUUUCAUCAAUUAUAAGUUUCUCAGAGUUUUGAAGCUGGACGAUCUUGAUGGGAAAGUAGGAAGUCUACCUGAAUCAGUGGGAGACCUAGUCCAUCUAAGAUUCUUAAGUUUAGCACGUAGUGGGUUUACGAGCUUGCCACAAUCUAUGGGAAACCUUGCAUGUAUGGAAUUCUUGGACUUGGUUAUGCUUCAAUAUAUUAGAAUUUCCAUCCCAAAUGUGUUGUGGAAGAUGAGAUGGUUGAGGUAUCUCCGUCUUCCCUACAAGUUUGAUGUCAAGGAGAAAUUCCAUGGGGCCCAUAAGAAGUUGCGGUUGGGCACUUUAAAGAAUCUACAGACAUUGAGAAACUUUAGUCUGAAGGAAUGUGAUGUGAAUGAUGUGGGCAAGCUUACCAAUCUGCAAAAACUGACUGUCGUUGAUUCGUAUGAUCCGCAACUUGCUAAAUUCAAUUUGAAACAUCUUCAAUCCUUGACUAUUUAUUUCGCGCAUUCUUAUAAUUCAUGGACUGAAGGUGAACUGAGUAAAAUAUCAAAUUAUCCCCACUCAUGUAAGCUAUUCAUUAAUGGAAAAAUAGAGAAGCUGCCAGAACAUAAGAGUCUACCUCAACAAUUGAGGAAGCUGGUCUUAAUAUGUUCCCAACUCAAAGAAGAUCCAAUGCCAAUAUUGGAAAAAUUGAAAAGCUUGGUUUUUCUCUUUGUGGGAUAUUAUGCUUUAUGGGGAAACGAAAUGGUUUGCUCCGCAGGAGGCUUUCCUCAACUCAAGCAUUUAAUUUUUUAUGCAUUACCUAAUUUGGAGGAGUGGAGAGCCGCUGAAGGAGCCGCACCUCAUCUUUCUCGAUUAGGGAUUGAGCAUUGUCCUAAAUUGAGGGUGGUACCUUCACAUGUCUCUACAUAUUACGGUGGGGACGAAAUAUACAACGAGCUAAAAAGGUGGCCUCAGCUGUCUAGCGGGAGAGGAGGGAGAGGGGCAUGAGCUUAUGGGCUGUUAAGGGGGUGGUACCUCAAGAAUAAAUAUCUAAUCUCAUAUAUCAUGAGUGGAAAUAGAGUAUUAUGGCAUUCCUUGACAAAUUAUUUUCCAUGUCUUGUUUCCAUCAUAAAUCAUCAUUCGUUUCGGUUUCUCUCUCAUCCCUAAGGACUUGCAAGCCAGUGGGGGGUGGAACUGGAUUCGCUCGCUGUCGGGAGAACUCAGCGACUUUGCUCAUGGAAGACUGCAAGGUUCUCGCGAGCACUAUGAGGAGGAGGAGGAGGAGGAGGAGGAGUGAAUUCGAUGCGUCUCCAAAAGACGGCUAACAGGAGGCAUUUGAAGAAAUAAGAGCCGUCGCUUGUGGUGUUGGUGUUGAAGUAGUUAACUUCAAGUUUUUUUUAUUUUAUUUUUUAUGUGCUUUCAGUUUUUAUGUUUCUUCAACAAUGUAAUAAUGGAGUCUUAGUCAAUAGGAAGUGGCUUGUUUUCAGGAGUUUGUUUCUACACAUGUUCUGGUUAGUGGGGUAUGUUAGUGGGUGUUUUGUUGCUAUUCUGUAACUAUUUUCUUGCUAAGUGGUUUGGAUGUUCUGCCUAUUUAAUAGGCUUAUGCUCUGAUGAAUAGUAACGAGCAUUAGCAAUUCUCUUGUGUGUCUUCUUCUCUUUGAUUAAAUUCAACAGUUGGAAGACAUCAUCGUGGAAGCUGAUGCAUUGCAGAGGAGAGGAGAUCCAAUCAUUUCCCUAGUGCUAGAAAGAUGUUUGACGAAAUGCGGAUGUGGAAUAGGAACUGGGGUACAUUAAUGGGCGUGUUGCUUUUGGCUUGUGCAAUUGAUUUCUUUGUCUAUAGAUAAACGAUGACGAGAAAUACAACCGUGCAUUUUGCAUCUCCCAGUCUCCUACAUUUUUCUUUUGUUUUUAUUAGUAUCCCUGUCUCCUACAUGUAAAAGCUGCAAGAUAUACUUUAAAGAUUCUUUCAUAUAAUUUAAAGAUUCUUUCAUGUGUGCUCACAUUAAUCUUUCCCUUUGAACGACGGUGAUGAAAUUGUUGGAUCUAACGAGAAAGCUAUGAUUAUUUGUCAAUUGGUGACCCACGGCAAAUGUUGCUCUUCUCCUGCGACCAAGAACUUGCAGUAUAUAUAAGGAGGUAAAUAUUAUGAGAAGAUUUUGGCUAUCUCUACGUGGAAUUCUAUUCUCAAUUGACUAAUUUAGUCAAAAAGAUAAUAUCCGCUCUUGUAUUAGUUCAGAUCUUCAAAGGGUGUCAUAAAAUAUGUUCUAUUGAGUUGCUAAUCUAUGUCCUCUUCAAUUAUUACAAUUUUUUUUUCCUUCUGGAAUCAAGGAUUGAUGUUAAACUUACGCUUACAACAUCCACGUGUCACUUGGCCAUUGCUAUCACUCUGCUAAGUUCAAACUUGGCAAUUUGUGCUCGGUAUGGAAACCUUGUGCUUGAAAAAGUGUUUCGAAGUGUGUGUGGAAGAAUUUAUCCACAUAAAAGCUGUAUUGUGGAGACUGAACAAUGGCAUAUGUUAGCUAUUGGAAUGCAGGAGCAUCCCCAAUGGCAGAUUAAGAGCAGGUUUGUAUAUUUUCAGAAGGCCAAGGAAUCUGCAUCUUCGAAGGAAAUUCCUUCACUAUAGCUUAUCAAUCAGACAUUGGGUUAUACAAGAGAGCUGGAGUGGAUUGUUUAGGACCUGCGACAGUGCACAGUGGUUUGCGUUGGUAUUUGCACACUUUGUGUGACAUUCCAGAUUUCAGUCUCGUAUUCUAUUGAAUAAAUCGAGCAUUUCAUUAGGGCUAUUCUUAUAGCUGAUCACUCUCGAGAUAACUAAACUAUCUGGGGAAGUCAUUAAGGAAUUUUAAGGCAAUAGACUUGAUAAUUCGACUAGGAAUCGACUUCUCGACCGUGUCUUUAGAAGCUAUUAUGGCACAAUUAAAAAUCGAUUUGAAAUUAGAGAUAAGUUGGUUCGACUGAGAUGUGUGGCUAAUCGUGGGUGACACCACUAAAUUAUGAAAUUCUCGUCGGCCGACACUAGACUGAUUUUCUUAUUAUUUUGGUACUCUGUGUCCGUAUUUGAAUCCUCGAGAUUUUAACAAUAACCGAGAGUUGCCAAUAACUCGAGUGGAUUCAUUGUGGCUCAAAGAAAAUCAAUCAAGGGUCAUUUGCACUGAAAAAUUUCUGAAAGUUACUCAGUAACUUAGGUCACGCUAAAAACGUGCCGAAUGACAAUUAACUGUGAAUUUGAGUCUGAUUUCAGAAAUUAAAGAUUCUGUCAUGUCACAAUAAAUUCUAGAAAUGUCGACUCAGUCUCAGAAGAUUUUUUUGCAAUCCGAGAUUUUUUUUGGAAAAAGUCGACCUACGGCCAUUUUUGUUCAAAAAAAGCCGGGGAUCAUUUUUUAUCACGAAUUUGGGAAGCAAGUGGGAUCAAUUAGUGAGGAAAAAUACCAAUUUGAUCCUUGAGGUGUCAAUUGAAUUUGUGAGAGUCAAUUGAGAUUGAAUUGAGAAAGAAAUGAAGUCCAAUUGAAGCUAACUCAUGUCAAAUUCGUAUGCCCCCUUGCCUAGCGCAUUUUGGACCAUUUCAAAGGUUGUGAGGGGUGCAUGGUUGGCUGAAUUGAAGCCAAUGAAGAAAUGGGUGGUAGUGGAUGGUCAAGGAGACAAGAGAAUGGAAGAAAUGGCCCUUGGUGGCCCCUUUGUCCGCCAUCUCUCCCUCUCUCCCUUAUACAUUGUCCAAGUCCUCUUCCUCCUCCAUUGAAGCUGCCGUGCGAAGACUAGAGGUGCAGGAGAGAAGUUGGAGUAGCCGCACCACCACCGGACUGCAAGCCGCAUGCUGUCAUCGCCGAUUCUACCCCUGUCCGCGUGCCACGCGAGCCACCGCCCAGCCGUGCGUGUUCCUGCUCCGUUCCGCCGGUUUGCCUCCGACCCUCGUGAGUGCCCACCAAGGCCCAGUUUGGUCCUUACAUUCUUCCUCGAUCAAUCCCCGCCCUAAACCGAACUUAUGGUCUUUUGUUUUAGUAAGUACAUAACAGAAAAAUAGUGGGUUUUAGAGAUGUUGUUUGGCCCGUUGUGAGGUGGUUCCAGGCCCCGAAGGCUAGGCCUGCUUUGGAGUUUUCUGUCCCCCGCGACGUUCUUGACGAUUUGAUCCGAUCGUAUCUCGAAACAAGUGAGUUUAACUCACUAAACCUCGCUUAGUGGGUUAAUGAUGUUUAGAGGUUGAUUAGAUUUAAUUAAGUGCAAUUAGGUAGAUAUAUUAGAUUAGGUUGAUUAAUUUAGUGCCUUAUCCAUGCAUGUUAGGCAAAUGAUUAGUGUAAUUAACAAGGAAAUAUGUUUUAGUAUUUAUUGAAUGAACCUCAAAAAAAAUUUGGGUCCGUUUCGGCAUCCAAUUAGGCAUUACGGGCCUAAAUUGGAUUUAUAGGCAUUUAUUUAAUUUUUUUUGUAAUUAUUUAAUUAAUUAAUUAUUUUUCAGAAAUUAGACCGUGAUAGUCGGUGACCGAAUUUUUAUGUUGAUUAUCGUGGUGUAGUCUAUUUAUUUAUUCGAGCUUUAAUUUGUGCUGAAUUGAUUUAAUUGUGAUUUUAGAAUUUAUUCCUAAAUUAAUUAAUUUUGGUAAUUAAUUGAAAAAUUACCAAGCGUUGGUCUAUAGUGCUAAAAAUCUAUUUUUGGACUACUAAAAGGAGUGGAUGAUUCAAAAGUGAAAUUAUUGUAUUUUGGCUAAGGCCGACCAUGUACCCACACAUGGCUAUUUUUAUCGAGUAUGAUAAAAAUGAUAUAUUGAUUGUAUGGUGGUAGUGGUAUACUAUAAUGGCCCAAGAAUCUUAUUUUAUUAGCUUUGGGCGAGCAUAUAAAUAGUAUACCAUAAUAUCAGCUUUGGGCGAGCAACUUAUUAUCAGCUUUGGACGAGCAUAUAUAGUAUACUAAAUUGGUUCGGGAGCCUUAAUCUAUCAACUUUGGGUGAGCAUAUACAUAGUAUACUAUAUUAUCAACUUUGGGCGAGUUAUACUAUCUAUAUUUUCAGUUUUGGGUGAGCGGUCCUAAUUUGAUAGAACCUUAUAGAUAGUAUUAAAUGUAUCAACCGGGUAAAGGUUGUGAUGACAUGUAAUUGACUAGGUCGAUUGAUUAAUGUUUUGAUAUGAUGUUUUGAAUUGAGUGGUUGAUGUGAUUUGAUGCAUCUAUAAAUGAUAUUGAUUUGCAAGAUCGAAUUGAGGCCAAGGUAAGUCCUCUGACUUGUGUUAUGCAUAGGCAGCCCUUAUGGCGUAUUGGUUUCCUAAUUGAGUUUUAGGGGUAGAAUUUGCUAAAACAUUGUCUCACCCCGUUGUGGGAUAACAUUUCAAUCUCCUAGAUGGCAGUACCUUCACCUCCUCAUCCUCCCAUGCAUUUUGGUAUUCCCGAGGAGAUCACAAAGAUAAGAUACCACUUCCAUAUACAUAGCCACCCCGAAGGACUGGAAUACAUACUGAUCAAGUCCACUGUCUGGGUUGACGUGAAUAAACCCGAUAAGAUGCCCCAUGAGUAUCGGUCAUGGUACCGUUAAUACCAUGAUGGGCGAAGAGAGGGUCUUAUACCAGAAAGUGAUGUGUCUUUGCACGUACUGGAAUAGGCGUUCGGAGAGAGGACGACAGAUCCUAAGGAUGGGUUAGUAGUGGAUGCAAAGGAUCCCUAGCUCAACGAUCCUGAAUCCUCGGUAUACUAUAACAUGGACUCCAAUUAGGGUGUCAAAGAAGGAGUGGACGUCGAAGAGGAGGAACCUGAUGAGGAGCUUGAGAACGAACUUAAUGAGGAGCCUGAGAACGAACCUGAAGAGAAGGACUUUGAAGAAGACCCUAAAGAUGAAGAAGAGGAGGAUCCAGAGAAUGACCCGGAUGAAGACUAAGACCCCAUCCUGCUUUGCAAACUCUAAGUUGUGAUCUAAUGUGUGAUAGGUUUGACUUGUGAAUAGUACUGUAAUAUAUAUUAUGAGGUUUGCUUGUAUAAAAGCGUGGUUAUGGUUUUUCAGGUUUGAAAAAUAUGGCCCUACUUUUCUAUCCCAUUGUUUUAUUGUUUAGGAAUUUCUUUUCUACUUCCGCAUGCGUAUUAAAAUGAAAGGGUCGGCGAUGCGUCCUCUAACGUAGGAAUGGGCACAUGCCCGAGGAUUGGGGUGUGACACUUUGAAGAUUGGUUAUUUUGUGCUGAUGGCAUCUCAUCCCUUUUGCUCUUUUUGAGAAAUUUGAUACUGAUUCUUAGUAAUCAUGUCCAUUUUGUUGUUGAAUACAAUUUUGUAUUUGGUAUGUAGUAUAUUUUCCUUGGUUUACCUGCUUGGAAGAACUAGAAACUGAAAUCAGUCUAGUCACAUGGAGAUGGACAACUUGGCGAAUGUAUAUGUCGUUCUUAAUCAGUCUAACCUUAUGAAUAGGCCUAGAUACAAUUAGGUUUAAUUUGUUAUGGUAGAAUCAAAUAUAUGCACACUUGAUGACAUCAAUUGUCUCCAUUGGUCAAAGAGUUGCAAAGCAUUGACAUAGGAAGGCCAACUAGGGUUGCUUGUGUCCAGUUCAAUUUUUAGUUCAGUAGGUUGAAAUAGCCACCGGCUAUGGGCUUGUGCUUGCUCCUAAUUGAUGGUAUUCCGAAGAGACGGCAUAGGAGAAUCAUAUAAGAAAUUUCUUUUCCCCUUAUUUUUUCCUAGACUCUGGAUUGAGCUCCGUGAACAUGUGAUUUUGCUUUCUAUAUUUGCUGCAUAACACUCUCAAGACUGAGCAGAGUCAAUGAAUCUAGGGUUUGCAAUUUGAUAGUCUUGAGUGAUCCAUGAUGUAGCCUUUGCAUGGCAAAAUCAUUGCUAAGGGCCAUUGCCCCUCUCUGAUAAGUGAUGUUCCUCUUGCUGCGAAAGAACAAUGAAAGUCAUCAUUAGUUUGCUUAAUUGAUACUUCUGACGGACCGAGGAAAAGCAAGAGGAAGAAUUUAAUGGGUGGGUAUGCAACAAUGGUCCGCCUCUUCUGAAUCAAGGCGUUAUGAUGAAUUAACUCCUUGCUGUUAGGAUGUGACCAUCAUUGAUGGAUCUCGUCAUAUCUUAUGAUGAUGCAAUACUAAACAUUUGAGGAAUUCAUAACCACCCAAAUGUUUCCAAUUUCUUAAUACUUAUUUUCUUGUUUAUUCCUUCCGUUUUUUUUUUAAAAUUACCGUUGGCUUUUCUUGUUUCUUUUUAGUAGGCCCUUUUGCUCCACAAUGCAUGUUUUGUUUCCAUCCUUACAGUGUUCUGUCUUACUCGAUCUUCAAGAUGACAAUACUAAUAAAAAGCUGACAAGUGCAAAGACUUUGCCACCUCGCUUUUCAUUGGGUUUACAAGAUCUUUUGCAAAACUGCACUUUCACUGGAUUUGCAUGCAUAGUGGACCACGGCGAAUGCUUGAGACUUAUAUAGAAGAUGCAUGACAUAAGUUAGAGUUGGUUUAUGGUGAGAAAGAUUAAAUGUCAUUCAGUUGCUGAAUUGAAUGUGGAAGCCUCACAUCACCUGCCUUCCUAAAGAACUCUUUAGUACUUAAUGAGCGUGUUGUUAUUAUAAGUGUGAAGAUGGAAGAUCAAGAUGCCCCUGAGCGAGUUUUUUUUCAACUAAAGCCUUAAAAUACAGAUGCAGGGUAACUUUUGUCAUGGCGUUGCUUAAAAUUGUUUGUUCAUACUCAUGUCACGUGCAUUUGCAGACACUAAUAGGCAUUAGACCUAAAUUGCUAGAUUAUGAGAAAGAUUUCCCAUCCCUGUUGCUUUAUUGACCAUUUUGCACUCAUCAUUUUUAUGUAGACUUACUUGAAAGUUCUUAUGGUUGAGCAGUGGCCGUAUUCCACCAUCUCCUCAAGAGUACCCUAUUUUAGGUCUCAGUUAGUCAGUUUGUAGAGAACUCAAAGAACUCAAAAAAUAAGUCAAAGUGUAUUGCUACAUUCAAAGAAAAGUAUGUGUAACAUGCUCGGCUUAGACAACUCCAAUAAUUAAUGCAGUCGACUCUAUAAUUUCUUUUUUCUCCUGAAGGGAAAAUAUAGCUCAAUUGAUAACUGAUUUCUGAAUUGGUCAAGGACCGAUUGAACCACAAAUGCAGUCAGCUCUACAAUUUCUUUUUUCUCCUGAAGGGAAAAUUCAUUUAAUUCUUUUUUUAGGGAAAAAGAAAGAAGUUGGCUUCGCACCGUACUAAGCGAAUUAAGGGGCACUCACCCCGCAAUUUACAUAAAAGCCCCUCCUUUGAAGGCACACCGUACGCAAUACAAAAGGAAAAGUCCCCAGCGGUCAAACCGGUCAAACCCUUUAUGUGCAGUAAUAAGGCCUUCGAGAAAGGAAAUUUAAUCAAAAUAAAAUAAGAAAAAAUUGUGGAAUUUCUUUCUUCGUAUCCGAUCAACGAAUGAUUUCUCCAAUAAAGGGAAUUCUCGCUCCGAAUUGAGAUGAUCGUAAAUCGUCACGAUCGAUCCGAUUGAGCUCCCAAUCGAGAUCGCUCCUACUGCACCGUCGCUCUUCUUGUCCCCAAUCGCACAUCGCUUCAGGUUCGUCGGUCCCGAUUUCGUCCUACUUUUGUUUCGCACUCGACGGUUCUCCAGUCCUUCAACCUGUCUCCCGUUAUCAAAGAUUUGAUUCUUUUUGCUGCAUCUGGGUGUGAAUUUCUCCCAAUUUUCUCCCUCUUCCCGUGCUUGAAAGAUUCUCGAGCGAGUGAUGUGGAACGUCGUCUACUUUUGCUUGUUUUGUUGAUGCUUUCUAUAAUCUCUCGUUAUGGCUGUCUGCACUUUUUCUUUUUCUUUUAUAUGUAUGUCGUUCCGGCUCGGGCAUGCGUCGACCCUUUUUGUAGAAUGAUGUGAUGAAUGUUCAGGCGGAUAUGUCGGGGCAUGUAUCUGGUCAGUCGGGUGCUCAGUUGCAUGGGGUGUCCCAGCAAAAUGGCAACGUCAUCCCAAAUAUGGUAGCUGCAGGCAGCGGCGCUUCUCAUGCUGCGUUUGGCGUGGACAUGGAUACUCUUGGAGCUCGGCACUAUAUGCAGGAGAAGAUGUAAUUUAGUUUAGAGCACUUGUUCUUGUGCUUUAACCUCCUGGGUUCCACUGGUCCUUGUUUGCUGAUUGAACUUUUUACUGUCCCUUUUAAGCUUUUUUCUCUUAGCACAGCAGCAUCAGCAGCCAAUUGAUGAUUCUCAAAUACAUAAGCUGAAAGAUAUUGCUCAACGCCUGGAAGACGGUCUCUUUAAAUCUUCUCACUCAAAGGUCCCAUUUCUCAUCAUUUCUCUCCUCUUCUUCUUUGUAGAAGUACAAGAAGCGGCUUAUGAUUGCCCUUUAUUGAGUUUUUUUUUAGUGUUUUACAUUUUACAUUUGCGAAAGCCAAUAAUCUGUUCAUUUCUCUUGCCUAGUUUCACCUAUUUUUUCUCGUUAUUAUCAGUAUUUCCUUUCUUUUUGGUAAAUAGUACUUGACAUUCUUUUGCUACUUGAAAAUUACAAUCAUGUAGGAUGAGUAUAUGAAUUUAGGCACAUUGGAGUCCCGGUUGCAUAGUUUGAUCAAGCGUCCACCUCCUAAUAAUCAAAAUCCAGUCAAUCCUAAUGCAAUGACGGUGAUGAUUCCAACCCUUGGAUUGUCGCAUAAUGGGAGUUCGACCAUGAUGGCGACAUCUUCAGUGGAUGCCCCUAUGAGUUAUAUGGCUGGGAAUAGCAGCAUGCAGCCAACAAAUGCAAACACAGUAAGCCUUAUGUCAGACCUUAUGCCAAACAGAAUUUAUCCAAAGGCAUGUACUCUCUAUAAUUUCUUGUUAUGGUUGUCUGCGCCGAUGCCUGGCGGUAUUGGGUGUGGUUUGUUCACUGUGAAUAGAGUUUUACUGUAUGUGGCACAAGCUCAGGCAUGUGUAGCAAGUUUGAAUGAUUACAGGAAGAGUGAGAGCUUUUGUAGAUUGAUGUGAUGAAUGUACAGGCAGAUACGUCAGGGCAUGUAUGUAGUCAAUCGGGCACUCAGUUGCCUGGGGUGUCCCAGCAAAGUGGCAAUGUUGUCCUGAAUUUAGUGGCUGCAGGCAGUGGUGUCCCUCAUUCUGGGUUGAGUGUGGACAUGGAUCUUCUUAGAGCUCGGAACUAUAUGCAAGAGAAGAUGUAAUCUAAUCUAGAGCACUUCUUCUUGUACUUUAACCUCCACAGUUCCAUUGAGUCCUUGUUUGCUGAUUGAACUUUUUACUGUCCCUUUUCAGCUUUGUUCUCUUAGCACAGCGGCAUCUGCAGCCAAUGAAUGACUCUCAAAUUCAGAAGCUGAAGGAGAUUGUUAAACGCCUGGAAGAAGGUCUCUUUAAAUCUUCUCGCUCAAAGGUCUUCCCAUUCCUCAUCAUUUCUCUCCUCUUCUUCUUUGUAAAAGUACAAGAAGCAGCUUAUGAUUGCCACUUAUUGGUUUUUUAUUUUUAUUUUUAUUUUUUAUUGUUACACAUUUUACAUUUGCGAAAGCCAAUUAUUUGUUCAGUUCACUUGCUUGAUUUCACCUAUUUUUUCUCGUCAUUAUCAGUAUUUCCUUUCUUUUCUUUAUUUAUUUAUUUUUUUUGGUGAAUAGCACUUGACAUUCUUUUGCUAAUUUAAAAUUACAAUUAUGUAGGAUGAGUACGUGAAUUUAGGCACAUUGGAGUCCCGUUUGCGUAGUUUGAUCAAGCGUCGUUCUCCUAAUAAUCGAAAUCCAGUCAAUCCUAAUUCAACCAUAACAAUGAUUCCACCUCCUGGAUUGUCGCAUAAUGGGAAUUCGACCAUGAUGGCGACACCUUCAAUGGAUGCACCUAUGAGUAAUAUGGCUGGCAGUAGCGGCAUGCAACCAAUGAAUGCAAAUGUGGGAAGCCCUACGUCAAGUGGUGUCAUGCCAACACAGGAAGCCUUAUCGGAAGCCUUAUCGGAAGCCUUAUGUCAACUUGAAUUGUAAAUGAACAUUUUCAUUCAGAUGUAGGCCUUAUGCAGGAUGUGUUGUUAUGUUUUGAAAGUUGGGGUAUAAUUUGAACGAUUUUUCUUUCCUGUUUCCCAGUAUAUCGAUGAAGAUAUAAACACCCACGCACUUUCAUUUAGAAAAAACUACAUAGGCUUCAAACAGAAUUUACUGGCCCUAAUGAUUAAACAUUCACUUGGAACUUAGACAAUAAAAAGAUGAGAAUGCAAAACGGUAGGGGAUUCAUUCACAUUUCAGAAAAUGUUACGGCUAGAAAAUUCAACUUGUCAUUUCCUAUGAUUGAACAAAAAGAAGCACGACAUACCUAACCUGUGGACUUAGCAUGUAAGAAUGAAUCGCAUGAAGUACCCCAGCUACUAAAGAUUUUUCUAGUGAUCAAACAUACUUGCUUUCAGAGUAAAUCCAGCAUUAGAUAAAUCGCCAUCUCUGCACAUGAUGCUGCAUUUCCCAUGACGUCACCUGGAAUUCUGGCUACUUUUAU
RNAcentral lists this long non-coding RNA (24768 nucleotides) under Eucalyptus grandis. Its description in RNAcentral is "long non-coding RNA (EGRA_LNC002581)". Lineage: Eukaryota; Viridiplantae; Streptophyta; Magnoliopsida; Myrtales; Myrtaceae. The record is from RNAcentral.